This 497-nucleotide ribosomal RNA is filed under the name uncultured bacterium. Its description in RNAcentral is "partial 16S ribosomal RNA". It matches the Rfam family "Bacterial small subunit ribosomal RNA", at positions 28 to 507 of the family's 1533-position model. The record is from RNAcentral.
GAUGAACGCUGGCGGCGUGCCUAAUACAUGCAAGUCGAGCGAACGGACGAGAAGCUUGCUUCUCUGAUGUUAGCGGCGGACGGGUGAGUAACACGUGGAUAACCUACCUAUAAGACUGGGAUAACUUCGGGAAACCGGAGCUAAUACCGGAUGAUAUUUUGAACCGCAUGGUUCAAAAGUGAAAGACGGUCUUGCCGUCACUUAUAGAUGGAUCCGCGCUGCAUUAGCUAGUUGGUAAGGUAACGGCUUACCAAGGCAACGAUGCAUAGCCGACCUGAGAGGGUGAUCGGCCACACUGGAACUGAGACACGGUCCAGACUCCUACGGGAGGCAGCAGUAGGGAAUCUUCCGCAAUGGGCGAAAGCCUGACGGAGCAACGCCGCGUGAGUGAUGAAGGUCUUCGGAUCGUAAAACUCUGUUAUUAGGGAAGAACAUAUGUGUAAGUAACUGUGCACAUCUUGACGGUACCUAAUCAGAAAGCCACGGCUAACUACGUG